This 687-nucleotide long non-coding RNA is filed under the name Ananas comosus (pineapple). RNAcentral's name for it is "long non-coding RNA (ACOM_LNC003506)". Lineage: Eukaryota; Viridiplantae; Streptophyta; Magnoliopsida; Poales; Bromeliaceae. The record is from RNAcentral.
UCUAUAUUCAAUUUUUUAUUUCUCUUUUGCAUCUGUUAUCUUGAAAACUUUAUUUACAUUUAUAUUAAAACUUUCUAUCACAUAUAAUCACUACAACAGAAUUAGGUUAUAGGAACACAUAUUUGGGACACUUUGAGUAAGUGUCUCAUUUAUCCUAAAACUUAAAAAAACAUCUACUAAUGCCUAAAUAUAAAGCCCAAUCAAACUAAAAAUAAAAUAUUACUCUACUCAACCCACCACACCUAGUCCAUUUCGCCCGAUUACAAACAGUAAAAAAAAAAAAAAAUCAAUUACCAUCUUUUCUUCUCUCUUCACUCAAUCCACUGAAAUUCUAGACGAAGAGCCUUUCCUGUCGUCCUCCUCCACCACCACAGCCAACGAGAUAGAGUUUCGGCGGUUGCUAAAUGCUUAAAUAAGUGUUGAUAAAUUAGCAGCACUCUUUUAGUUUAUAACGACACUCUUUAACUGUCGCUAUAUACCUAGCGACCCCAUAUAUAGCAACAUUUUUUAAAAGUGUCGGUAAUUUUAGCUAGAAGCACUUUUUUGACAUGUACCUACAUUUAAAAGUGUUGCUAUAGACCGUUUUUGUUGUAGUGAAUGUAAAGACAAACAAUUUAGACCUCAUAUAUAAUAUAUACACAUACACUUAAUCCAUAAAAUUACAAUUCAUGAAAUGCACAAAUUUCA